Long non-coding RNA from Maniola jurtina (meadow brown), 694 nucleotides. RefSeq lists it as uncharacterized. The record is from RefSeq and is a predicted model, not a curated record. Lineage: Eukaryota; Metazoa; Arthropoda; Insecta; Lepidoptera; Nymphalidae. The transcript is spliced from 3 exons.
AGCUCUUAAUAAUGGGAAGAGCUUUCCAGAAAGCUCAAUUCUGUGGGGGCAGGGUGUAUUAAACCUUCGUGGAGUGGAAGCGAUAUCGGAUACUGCUUAAGAGCCCCACAAAAGGCAAGGCUGGAGACUUGCGACGAGCAGCCACUGGCACUGGAGGUGAACCAAAUUUCAACACUUCUUUGACCCCUAUCGAAGAACAAUAUAAGUAUAAUUGGGAACGUGGCAGUAGAGGGAGAACCCAAAAUCCAGAUUCCAAUAAAUGAAUCAUAGAUUCCUGACCUGCCUACUCAACCAAGUACAUCUACUGUACAUCACCAAUAUGAGAAAUCAUUAUUGAUGAGCAGCUUAGUGACAACUAUACAACAAACAGAGGAGCCUUCACAAAUAGAAGCUACACAUAACCGCUACAUAUUUCACUAGCAUUAGAAGUUUCUCAGUCUGUCUAUCAUGUUGAUACUGAGAUACCAGAAGUUAGCACACCAACCAGCACACAACACCGUCAGCCUUUAAGAAGUAAUAAACUUAUCCAAAUAUAUUUGAAACCUUUUCAUAGCCAUUGUUCACCUAACAACUAACAUUUUUUUGAAAUUCCAUUAAUAACAAGAUAUUAAGAUAAGCCUUUAUUAACUGAAUUGAAUUACAUUAAUGCUAUGUACAUAAUAUAUUUCAAAUAAAUAAAUAAUAUUUUAGUUUU